UAUUCAUCAUAACAUUACACUAAGCAAACACGGGACUCACUCGGGUCUUUCUCAAACACACACACACACACACACACACACACACACACACACACACACACACACACACACACACACACACACACACACACACACACACACACACACACACACACACACACACACACACACACACACACACACACACACACACACACACACACACACACACACACACACAGUUUCCCUUGUUCCUCUUUUAUUGUAUUUCCUUCAGUAACUGCAGAAAGUGAGCACAGAUAGUUACCAUGUCCGCAGGAAAACUCGCAUUUGCUCCUUCCUUUUUUCUCUAACGCGGAUGCGGAUUUCCUGCAAAGUUUGUUAUAGAAAAGAAAACGGUUUUUCUUUUACGGCCUCAACCGGUGACUCCUUUAUUUCCUCUUGUUAGCCUCCCUACGGAUAUAUUAAAAUGUGGUGUGUGUGUGUGUGUGUGUGUGUGUGUGUGUGUGUGUGUGUGUGUGUGUGUGUGUGUGUGUGUGUGUGUGUGUGUGUGUGUGUGUGUGUGUGUGUGUGUGUGUGUGUGUGUGUGUGUGUGUGUGUGUGUGUGUGUUCGUUCUAUUAAUAUUCUUGCACCUUUCUCUUUGCACUCUUUCUGAUGUGAAUUGUUCUUGUGUUGUUAUUGUAAUUCUACUUCUUUAAUACUGCUUUUUAUAAUUUCAAAGCUAUUGCUCUACGUAACAGUUUACUGAACAGUUUGAAAUGCUAUUUAACAACCUGAAAUGCUUUCGUAAUUUCUAGGUAAGGUAUAACUUUUGUAUUGUACUUUUCAAUGGACAAUUUUCUUCUUCUUCCUUUUUUUUUUUUUUUUGAGUACUUUGAUGAACUGUAAAAAAUGGGAGGUUCAUACGUGUCCAAAAAUAUGAAAGUUCCUUGCUAUUUGUAGAACCUUACUCUAUUUAAAAAAGAUUUUUACUCGUAUUAGAAGUCUUGGGCACUAAUUUUACAAGGGUUUGUUUCGCAUGUAUAGCGAUGAUUAUCUUAUAAAAUUACUGAGAAAAAUAGUCUACAUUUGAUUAUAUAUAAGGUUAUAUAUAAAGCAGAAAGAUUGGAAAGGUGCAAACAUCAUACUUAAAGAAAAUUAUAUUUUGUUUGUAUUGAUCCGUGGAUUUGCGAAUGGUUUUGCAUAUUUUCUAAAGGGAUCUCGUUUUCUUCCUUAAAAGUUAUAUAUGAUUCUGUUUUUCUGUAUUUUAUGAAAAUGUUUUAUACUUCUCAUUAGGUAUUGUCUUAUAAUUGAGAAUUUUAUAAAAAAGAAUUUUUGAAGCUUACCAAAAAAUACCUUUGAAGUUAAUUUAUAUUUUGAAGACGUUAUUUGUUAAUUUAUUCAUCUACCUAUUUGAUUUAUCUAUUAAUUUAUCUAAUCACUUUAUUUAUUUGUUUAUUUUUUUAAAGAUUUUACAUACUUAUAUUUCUUGUCUUGAAAAAAAAAAAAAAAUGUCGAGUUUAAAAGUGAAGAUGUAAGUAGUUUUUCCCCCUCUAUUUUUCUUCAGCGUAAAAUUUUGAGUGGAUAACCCUGACAUUUUACUUUCCUGUGUCUCAUCAUUCAUAACUGAGAUAACACUGUGUCGCUCAUCACUAACAGAUCUGCUAUUGUUUCCUCUUCCUGUGUGUGUUCCUUUGUACCGCCGUUGGAUUCGUGUUGCUGUUGUUGUUGUUGUUGUUGUUGUUGUUGUCGUUGGUGGUGGUGGUGGUGGUGGUGGUGGUGGUGGUGGUGGUGAUCGGCAGUCUUGACAGCCCCAGCGAUAGAAGGACAGGAACGAAGGCUGCAGUGACACACGUGACAGGAGGGAGAGACAAACUGAGCAAAGAAGGGAAACGAGGAAGGGAGGGAAAGAAGAAAUGGAGGAAAAAAAAGAAAUUGAUUGAGAGAAAAUGUUGUCUUUGUAGCAGCCAUGUAAGUGUUAUGACUUGAUAUUGUGUUUCACGCGCACAAAAAAAAAAAAAAAAAAAAAAAAAAAUCUCAUUGAGUUCAUGUAUUAUACUUUACACGAGUUUCCCUUUUUACUUCGUUGACACAUUACAUUUUCACUCACAUCUGGUACACGCGUUGCAGCGCCAAGAGUCCCUGUGUCUGUGUAUUUCAAGGGGUUCUUAUGCAUAUUAGUUUAAAAGUCUAGUGUAAGGUGCAGCACAUUUACAUAAACAUUAUUUAUUUAUUUAUUUUUUCGGUCGAAUGUUCGUGUAGAUGCUUGCUAUUCUGUUUUGUUGAAGAGGUUGAUGUAAUAUAUUUGGUCUCUGUCAUCAUUUUUCAGCUCAUGAUUUCGUAGUUUCCUGGCCAAGAUUUAUCUAGUUUCCUGUAAUGUUUAUUUUCUUUGUAUAUUUAUUUGUUCAUAGUUCAUAAUUCAUAGUAUUAUUUUUUUUGUCUUUUAAUAUUUUUCCUUCUAUAUAUCUUUUUCUUUCUUUCUUCAUUUUACACAUGUAUGCAAAGUUGUAUUCAAGAGUUCCGUGUAAUAUUUCUUUUCUCUUUCCUUCCAGGAGCGUCACGUUGGUUCCCGGAAUGUCACGGACGCUCAAGUGCAGUGGUGUUUCCGUGCCUCCUGCCCGUUAAAGUAUUAAAAGAAGACUGGAGGCACUUCGAGUAACAGUAAUGGUGGCAGCAAUGGUUGUGUUAAAGAGUGGAGGUGUUUUGAGUUAGAUUGGUGACGUGUGAGAGGAAGCAACACGUGGACGAUGACGAGGGUGACUAUGAAGCAGGUAAUGCAGUGAGCCGCCUGUGCACUCACCACGCUCACCGCUCACUGCAGGGACGAGCCUCAACCUUUGCUCCUCCCGAAAGUGCACCGAGGAGGAGCGGAGAGAGGCGAGUGUGGAGGAGAAUGUUGCUAUACUUCAUGAUUCUUCCAGUAAGGUCUGGAUGUGAUAUUGUUGACAUCCGGUCUUCGGGUAAGACUGCCUCUGGAGUCUUCUCUGCCUUCCUCCUCCAAAUCCUCCACUUCUUGAGAAUGUAGAAACCCGCUGCAUAGGGGAAGAAAGUGUGGAAAGAAAGAUGAAUGCGAAGGCCACCCAUAUUAGUGUUCAGAAUGUCCCGCGGUCACCAAAGUCAUCCUGGAGCCAUGAACUGCUGAUAGAACCGACAGAGCUUCUUGUGGAGAGGAAAGGGACGAUGCCGGAGACGGACAGCACGGUGCUGAAGAUGCCGGUGUGGGCCACGCUAAGGCCGAGCGUCGCCUGGUGCACAGUGAGCUGCGGCCACAGGAUCACUAUCGCUGCAACACAUCCAUGGUCUGAAUGUGAUAUUGUUGACACCUUGUCAUCGUGUACCACAACGUCUGGAGUCUUUGCCUCCCGUUGCCACAUCCUCCAUCUCUUGAGACUGUAGAAACUGGCGGCGUAGAGGAAGGUGGAGGCGAAGGCCACCCACGCGAGUAUUCUGUAUGAUUCCCGUUCACCAAAAGCAUCCUGGAGCCACGAACCGCUGGCAGCACCUAUGGAUUUUCCUGCGGAGCCCCCGAGGAAAGGCGUGAAGAUGCUGAAGGCGGACUCAACGGUACUGAAGAUUCCGGUGUGGGCCAUGCUGAGGCCGAGUGCCGCCUGGUGCACCGUGAACUGCGGCCACACGAUCACUAUCGCUGCAGCAAAACCAU
Molecule: long non-coding RNA, 3620 nt
Organism: Scylla paramamosain (green mud crab)
Lineage: Eukaryota; Metazoa; Arthropoda; Malacostraca; Decapoda; Portunidae
Exons: 10
Source: RefSeq, a predicted model, not a curated record